Molecule: ribosomal RNA, 208 nt
Filed under: uncultured bacterium
Lineage: Bacteria
Description: partial 16S ribosomal RNA
Rfam family: Bacterial small subunit ribosomal RNA
Source: RNAcentral
UCGGAUCGCAGGCUGCAACUCGCCUGCGUCAAGUUGGAAUUGCUAGUAAUCGCGGAUCAGCAUGCCGCGGUGAAUACGUUCCCGGGCCUUGUACACACCGCCCGUCACACCAUGAGAGUCGGGAACACCCGAAGUCCGUAGUCUAACCGCAAGGAGGGCGCGGCCGAAGGUGGGUUCGAUAAUUGGGGUGAAGUCGUAACAAGGUAUC